AUGAGUAGUGCGGCGAGAAUCCUUGAGGAGACAGCUCCGUCAAGGAAGAAUGAGGUGCACCUACCACCCAAGCCGGAACUGCCUAAGGUGGAGUUGCCAACGUUCCCAGAGGUUUACCUGCCACCCAAGCCGGAGAUGCCCAAGGUAGAGCUGCCAACGUUCCCGGAGGUUCACCUGCCACCCAAGCCGGAGAUGUCCAAGGUGGAGCUGACGCGGAAGCCCGAGAUGCCCAAGGUGGAGCUUCCACCAAAGCCCGAGUUGCCCACUGUUCCCGUGUUCCACUUCCCAAAGCCGGAGGACAAGCCAUGA
Molecule: ribosomal RNA, 309 nt
Filed under: Triticum aestivum (bread wheat)
Lineage: Eukaryota; Viridiplantae; Streptophyta; Magnoliopsida; Poales; Poaceae
Description: partial small subunit ribosomal RNA
Source: RNAcentral